Long non-coding RNA from Lonchura striata (white-rumped munia), 7444 nucleotides. RefSeq lists it as uncharacterized. The record is from RefSeq and is a predicted model, not a curated record. NCBI's taxonomy places the organism in Eukaryota, Metazoa, Chordata, Aves, Passeriformes, Estrildidae.
AAAAAAAAAAAAAAAAAAAAAAAAAAAAAAAAAAAACAAAUGCCAAGAAGGAUAUAUGCUUUGCAUCCAGCAAAUUUCAGUCUGGAUGAAAUACAUGCAUGGGAAAUGAAUAUUUCACAGAAUGUUGUGUAAGCAGAGCUAGAAGAAAAUUGACAUUAAUUCCAUGGCUGUAAGCGGGGGCAGGAGGAAAAGGGAGAAGGCAAGAACAGGAUGGGAAAGAAAGGAGUCAGAGAGGUGGGAGUGGAGCUGGGGCUGUGGGGAGCACCCUGGUACCUGACUGGCACAGUCAAGCAGAUUCUCUCCCCCAGGCUCCCUGCCACCAUGUGAGAACAAUAAAGGUUUCUUGGAUGGCAGGCAUCACCCCAGAAAAUCUGCCUCCAAAGAUUGUGGUGCUGCCAGCACUGUACUCAUCUUCCUUUCUUGCAGGAGAUGAAAACAGGGCAGAAGAAGAUGCAAAAAUAAAAUAUUGUGUGUGGCUUUCUCAGCAAUCACCUGAACAAAUGUGAUUGCUCAAACUGAUCCUCAGCUCAGUCAUUGCAUGUGUUCUGUUCUCUCGCCUCACUUAAGGGAUUCACGUCAAAUAAAUCCAUUUCUUCAGUUGUAUUUACUGUUUCCUGGCAACCACCCACCUUGGAAAAAUAAACCCUGUGCAAUGAGAAAGAAUGCAAGACUAUCUCCUUACCCCCUCUACCCACCUCUGGCAAGGCUUUCUAAUCUUAAUUCCACACACAGUCAGACAGUCUGCAUCUAAGUUACUUUCCUGAGACAAUGGUUAUGCAAGUUAGGGGCAUGUCAAGUCAGUUUGUUAUUUAAACUCUACAAAGCUUAAUCAUAUGAAUAAUUCUGAUUGAUAAAAUUAAAUAUGUGAAGUUUUCCUUUUACUUUCUCAGCGUGUUCAUGCAGAUGGUCUUUUUCAGAAAGGAAAAUGAAAUUAAUUUUCAAAAGAUAACUUCAUACAAAUAGCUUUCUCAUAUAACAUGAGAAAAUAUGGCAGAAAAUUAAUUGAAGCAUAAAAUUAGUGAUGACAUAAUAUUAAACAAUAAACAGAUUUUGUGAGUUACUUAAAUUCACAUAAUGGGGAUUUUUUAUAUAUACCAACAAUGUGCAUUGGGAAGGCAUUUGCAGACAUUCACCCCGGAAGCCAUCCCCCAGAGUUCAUAGGGAGUUCACUUGCAAGGGGAAACCAAGUUUUUCACUGCAGUUUGUGUAUGAUUGUGCUCAGGUGUGUAAAAGGGCAGGUUUCUCAAUCUGCUCUUUCUUUUCCUUUUGUUGUAGUCAAAUGUUGUGUAUUUCUCCUCCUUUAUUAUACAGCUAACUUGUUCUUGGGGGUAGCUAACAAGGACAUUUGAAGAACACUUCAAGAAGUAGAAUAGAAGAAAGAUAAAGGGAGGAAUCCUACAGACGAAGAUGAGAUUUCCUAUUGAUUAGAGAAAUACAUGAUUGGAGUAAGAGGCAGCCGCCAGAUGAAGAAUGCACAAAAUGUCUGGCACUGCUUGAAGUUGUUUUUAUUGGGUUUUUUUUUCCUUGCAAAAGGGAGUGACAAAUACACCUAUUCAGUUUGACUCUGAUCACUGAAAUGAAUUACUUAAUUCUGAUUCAUGAGGCCCCAUGGUUCUCAAGGAAAAGAGAAGAAAGAAUAUCACAACAGAGACAAGAAGCCUGAAGAAAGAAAAUUUAGAACUCCAACUGGUAUGUUAGACUAUUAGAGGAAAUAGUAAAUUUUGAAAAAAAGGGAAGAUUGGGAGAGUUCUGAAUUCCUUGAUGACACUAUAUUGAGAACAUAUUAAUAUUUUGCAAUGCAGAAUGUUGGAUCAGAACUUUAAGAAGGAACCAUCAUGGCUGAAUCAAAAACUGUUCAACUACAUGAAGCUCAAGCUUAAAGUAGAAAAUAAUUUAGUUCAUUAGAGAUGAAUAGAGCAGGAUGCUCACAUUUGUGGAGAGAAAAUCAGAAAAACACAAAGCUUUCCAUAGCUACUGAGACAUAAAUGAUAUUAUGGAAAUACUUUUUUUAAUUCUAGAAGGACCAAAACUCUGUUUCUAUCACAAAUGUGUUUUAUUGUUGCAAUAGACAACUUUUUGAUCCCUGUGAAGCAAUGCAUCUUUUUUCCUUUAAGAUUUGGAUGAUCUUGGAUUUCCACCUUUGAGCCAGGCUAGCACUAAAACUGAUGCAUUUUUCUGCUGAAAGAAAAUUCAAAUUAUGCUUCUAGUAGUUGUCUUUUUUUCAGCCUGAAUAGCAAAAUGUUCCCCUUUUAUUUUUACUCCAGAAAAUGCAUGGUGGGAAUAAUCUGAAAAGCUUGAAAUCUCUACCUUAUGCUGUGUAGAAAAAUGUAUUCCUCUAGAAAAAAGAUAUCAAGGCCUGGAUUAAGGAGAUCAAAUUUUAAUGGAGGCAAAAUUAAUUCUUUUUCCAGCACACAGCAGUAGUAUAAUUGACAGAUGAUUAUAUAUCAGCCUUUGCCAAGAAUAUUGCUAAGCACUUUAAGUCUGGCAAACUCUGUGUUACUUUGUGAUUGGUAGAAAAAUCUAUAAUUUUCUCUUGGGGAAAGGCCAAUCUUAUAUCAACUCAAAUGUUACACCAUGCUCUUUCCUUCACAAAAUUCCAGCUGCACACACUGGAUGUGCUCCUAAAAUUAUAGAUUUAAUUUAUUUUUAAUAGAAUUGCAAAUUUAUUUAUGGAAACAAUCUGACCAAAAUUGACUUUCCAACUCUUAACAUUUUUGAAGAUGUCAAGAUGCUUCUCCUCUGGAUUUCAACUCACAAUUGACUUAUUAAAUUAAUGGUAGCAAUUCAUGAUCAAGGAUUAUAGCAAGUCAUUGAGCCACUGGAGCCUUUUCCUCUCACUGAAUCUGAGUCUGAGUAAGUUUCUGCUUGUGCAGCCCAAAUACUUAAUACUCUGAAAAGCUUUUGGUCAUACACUCUUGUGAUUAUUUUGUUUGGUCUAAUGGGAUAUUUGGGAUUAUGAAAUCUUUCUAAAAGGUGUGAAAAACUGUAGAUAGCAAUUGCUUGAACAGUAUUGCACAUUGCCAUGUCAUGUUUGUGAGAUUAUACAUAUACUAUAUAUAUAUAUGCACAAAAGAAACUGCUGAAAUCAACUUUAUGAGAACUUAGUACAUUUAAAUAGUCAGUUUUACAGUGUCAUUCAAAUGAUAAGUUUCCACCCUCCUUUUCAGAAGAAGGCAUUGACCAUCUCAGGCCAUAAGGCACAUACAGUUUAUCAAUGCCUUCCUUCAUCAACAAAAUAAUUUUGGAGCAAUUUGCAUAUAAGAAAGAAUCAAUAUCAAAUCUCACAAAUGUGUUAUUUGAUGCAAAUUUAAAUAAGUACUCAAACUUUACUGAAUACUCAUGCCUUUUCUUUUGUCAUUAAUCUUUUCACAUUUCCCUCUUUGGUGGUUUCAGUUUGAUGAACUGGGCAGAAACACCAAUGAAGUGUAGGGGUCUCAUUAGCUUGGGCAUGGCUUGAGGGGUUUCUAAGAGAUAAACAUUGUUCACCCUCCUGUGUACAGGCAGGUUGAUGGAGCUCUGAUAUUUUUUAUUCAAACCAUAGAAAGAUAUCAUUUAAGCCAAAUAAUAAUUGUGAGUCUUGACCAAUUUGACACUGCAUGCCUAGAGGGAGUUGCAUCAAAUCUGCUAUUGAACAGCUGGGUGCCAUCUUAUCCUCUCAUAUCUGAGCUGAAAAUGCACUGCUGGACCAAUGGGCCAAUUGCUUCUACUUGAAUGAGAAAUUAUAUAACUGAUGCUAACUGCAAGGGUGUUUUGGGGUUGUAGAAACAAGAAGAGAGAACCAUAGGAGUGCACAAUUAAUUACAAAGACAAAUUAACUCACUGAUUAUAGCUUACAUUUCUUGCUAACCUGCCUACAUUAGUUAUUUUUCACUGAUCAAAAUAAUUACAUUGCAGAUAUGCAUAUAUUCAAGCACAAGUCAUUUGCUCUCAAUAAAAAGGGAAAGUAGCUAAGAUAUGUUAAUCCUUUUCUUUAAAGUAAAUGAAACAGUAUACUGUCAGUUGCCAUCUUUAGAACAAAUAAUCCGUGUACUUCAUGCAGAAAAAAUAAUCAAAAAUGCCUGCAUAAUUCUACCUUUAAAAAGUACUUCUGGAAUACUAGUGCAAAAAACUCUUCUGAGAUAAAAUUGGUAAAGCAGUUCAUUUUUAACCAAAGAAUAGCUUUUCCCAAAGUACACCCAUAUUCUGAUUAUGAUCAAAAGGUGUAUUUGACUGCAGAGUCCAGAUCCAUAUGUCAUUAGAAGAACAAGCAUAAGUAACCUUUUCUUUUCUAGAAGUACUGCAAAUGCUUAAUUAGGAUUGAAGUUGUCUCUGGGGUGACUGUACCUUUACUUAUAUCCUAAAUGACAUAUAUCCUAAAUGACAUUUAUUACCAGAACCUCAUGCAUUCAAACACAAGAAAAACUGGGGAGCAGCCUUAGCAGUGAGCACUGCAAAGGAAGCUCAGCAAUGAAUCCUGGCAGUGAAGCUCUAAUCAUUGCUUUCAUGGCAAUUAUGCAGUGUACUGAGCAGGACUUCAACUCAUAGAGAAAGAUGGACAAUGAAUACUGAAUUUUAACCUGCCUUUUAAGACAUUAUAAACUAAUUUAAUUGGGAUCACAUAAUUACUCAAAAGGCAAUCUCAAGUGCAUUAUCAUCCUCCUGUGUCAGCCUUCCAUGCCUUGUUAUCCUGUUAGAGUGUGUCAAAAAAUUGUCACAGGAGACUGAAUCUUACAGAGGAUAAUAACCCUACUGCUGCUUCUUCAAGCCUUAAACCUGAGAUUUGAAAUAAUGAGAGAGCUAUGCUUCUGGGAAGAAACCUUUUUUAUUCUGGGGGGAUUUUUUUUCUUUUUAAGCUAGACCACCCAUCAUAAGGCUUUAAAAACAAUAUUUUGAACAGUGGAAUCUUCAUGGCUUUUGUUCACUGAUUUAUUAUGUAUUAUUUUCAGAAAUAUCCAACAGUCCCUUGCUUGCUGGGCUAUAUAUAUUCCUAAUGAUCCCUUUCCAUCUCUGUAGAAAAGAAAGAACAUGGAAAUUAUAGUUCUUAGGAUGGCAUCUCAUCUGUUUUUUACAGAAAGCUUACAAGUAGAAUAUAUUCUGAUUUUCUUUUCCCUUUCAUUUGAAUCCACAUUGAAGUUUGAGAGCAUCCUGCAGCAAUGUAUGUGUUGGUGUUACUGUUUGUACCAUUUGUUACCAAAGAGAGAAAAAGGCAAAUGAGCAUUACCAACUAAAUUUCUUGCUUACUUGUUAUUCAUGCCCACUCCCAAAAGCUUUGAAUUCUACCAAAAUUAAGGAAUCUGAUGGAACAGCUAAAAUAAAUAAUUUUCAGACAAAGUCUUCCAUCAAACUUGGCUUUUAUGUGUCAGAAAGCAAGAUAAUAAAAUUCUUCUGCCCCUGCCAUCAGUAUCUGGAUUGGGAGCUUAAUGAUGCACAGGGACACUGUCAUUACUACUCUGUCCUCAAAAGUGAAUAUUAAACUGUCUUUCCUGCAUUUAUUUUUACUUGGUAAUCAUUCAUUUUACCAGCAGCAACUGUAGCCCUUCCUGAAUUGCUCCCUCCCCCAUUUUCAGGGCCCAUAGGUAACCAUGUUUAAUCUUCACAAGCAUUUUAAAUUUUAAUAGUACUUCCCAGCUGGAAGUCAUUGUGGAUUCUUAAACUUUACCUGUGAAUUCAUUGCUUUGCAUCCUUUUGCCAGACCGUACAAAGCUCUGUACAUGCAUGGUGUGAGAUUCAGAAAGGAGAAGCAUCCCUUUUCAUUUUGCUAAUUUUCUGGGUGAUGCUUUUAAAAUCAGCUGAAAGAGAGACAAGCUAUUGCUGACAGCAGGCCUGGCUUGAACAAAAGAGAUCAAUCUAUAGCCAGAUCCGUCUGCUGCAAGUGCUCCCAGCAGCAUUCAUAUCUUUUUACUUGAAGUACUUCCAUUUGGAACUGCUAUGCACAGAUUUUCUUCCUCUCCACUUUCAUCAAGCAAUGGUGAUUUGAUGUCAGGUUUUAAGGACAAGAAAAUCAACAUAGAGCAAUUUGAAAAUGACUGAAUUACUCUGUUUCUAAAUUUUUUUCAGACAGAACACCCUAGGUAAUCAGGAACAGUUAUAGACCAGGUUUAAUGUGGGCAUAGCUUUAUGACCCAUAACUGAGAGUGGAUGCACACUAACAAAGCUAGUUCAGCACGAGAGGCCCAGAGAUGAGAAGGGCAUUACUGGCUCACAGUGCUCCAUGUGCAACCCAGCUGAAUCUAUCCUUGCUGCACAGCCAGAGAAAUACCUCGGUAUUUUGUGACCUGAUGUGAUGGUGAAAAUUGGCAGAAUUUAGGGGCAGAAGUGUUGCAGUAUAAAUAACCUGUAAGACAUGAUGGUAUUUCUGGUGUGGUGAGAAGCAAUUAGGACCUUCCUAAUGCAGACGGGCUUAGAGCACUUUGGAAAGGACAAUGGCUUCAUGUUAUUUUGACUUCUUUAGGGAAGGAAAGGAGAGGAAAAUCAGUAGAAAACAUGUGUCUUCCAUGGACACACUACAGAAAUGACCAGAGGAGGCCACUGUAGACAGAGCCUGAUACCAUUGUAUUUCUAUUUAUUUUACACUCCUGAGCAAAUAGGGUUAAUUAAUCCCAUUAUCAAAAAACAAAUUAACAUGUCAGUGAUGUGACCAAUGAAAAUUAACAUAUUUAAAAUUGAAAAAAAGGAAAAAACAAACAACCAAACUAAAACUGGUUGACACCAUUAUUGGUAUUUAUUUUCCGAGCAGUACAAGAAGGAAAUAAUUAUUUAAUACUUUAUAACUUUGGCGAUAUAGUACCAACAUAUGUGACGACAUUUUAAUAAAUAUCAAUUGUAUGACAGUGACACAGGCAAUCUCAUGUAAAGACAGUGACUAUGUAAGCAGCAGUAAAAGUUUGGAGCUCUUAAUACAUAAAUAAGUAUGUAUAACAUCCUUCAGUUUACUAACAACUCCUUCAAUUUGCUGAAAACUGAAAACUACUACUUUUGGAUCAAAUUAACCAUAAAACAAGAUAGCUGUAUAACAAUUAUAAUAUUUUAAUAAAUUCUGUUUACACUUAUUAAAAUAAGAUUUGAAGAAACUGCAAACCAAUCCAAAUUAUACUACUUUAAAAUAUUUAAAAAUAUUUUUACUUUUUAAGCACGUGCAUUUUUUAAUCUAAGCAACUUUACAUUGAAAAAUUAAUUAGGAAAUUAUUUCAUAUUUACAGAAUUUUGGUUCAUAUUUACUCACAAACUCCAACAAUUACCAAAUGAAAUACAUCAACAAAAAAACAAAAUUUAAAUAAAAAGCUGUUGCCUCUCAUCUCAUUCAACAAACACAGACUAAUUAAAAUCUGUAUCACCAUAAGAUAGAGUUCAUUGCAUGUAAUCAACAGAAAAAUGAAUAUAUUUUUCUUUGUUUCUUAGUGCCUUGUUUUCUAUACUGAUUUGUGUUAUGUAUUCAUUAAACAUAUAAUAAACUGGAUUGAUAUAA